This 1251-nucleotide ribosomal RNA is filed under the name Triticum aestivum (bread wheat). RNAcentral describes it as "partial small subunit ribosomal RNA". Lineage: Eukaryota; Viridiplantae; Streptophyta; Magnoliopsida; Poales; Poaceae. The record is from RNAcentral.
AUGGGCAUGCAGGCUUUGAUGGAUGUCCGUUGCACGAAUCUAGUCAACCCUAUAUGCAACUGGCUUGGUGAGAUCUACGACCCUGCCUCGAGGGAAUUUGCGAUUCCGGGACGUGGAAGACUACCGUUGGAUGAGGAAUCCGUGUUCUGCACUCUGGGUGUGCCACAUGGAGAGAUCAAAGUCCCGUAUGAGGUCAAUAAUAAGAUCGAGGAAAUGCUGUUCCCCUGUUUGUUUCCUGGGUUGGAAUCCAUGCCGAACACGAUUUUCCUGGCAGAUUCGCUGCAGGCAAUGACAACCCAUGGCGAGGUUUUUAAGAUGAAACUACUCAUGUACCUCAUCUCAGCUGUUUUUGCGCCGACCACUUCUCUUCGCCCAAGCAACAAAUGCUUCCCCAUCCGGGCGAAAUUGAAAGAUGUGAAGAACAUGAAUUGGUGCAAGUUUAUUGCCGACUUCUUGCAUGAUGCAUUCUCAAGCAAGAUGUACCAGAAGGGUUGUCGACUUCAUUUAGGGCUCAUGUACGUCGACUGUCUAGAUCUGUCCACUGUGGAUUUCACUGGGGCAGGAGGCCCGCCGCCUACGCACAAGUUUGCUGUUUCUACAUGGACGUACAACGCUGUCAAGGCUAUGCUUGCAGCAGACAGGGUAACUGAUACCAAAUAUGGAAAACUGCAGCUGAUGGCCAAGCAUGCUAUAGACUACAACGUGUUUGGGGGGCCUCAAAAUUUUGGAAAGUGGAUGGACGUGCACUCAGCUCCGUCUUGCCCUACUGAGGAGAGGGCACCUGUUGAGCAUCUAAUUGGGCAGUUUGCAUUCGGAAUGACCGGCUUGCUCGGGAAGUUAGUUGAGGGUUGGACGUCCCUUAACGGCUCUGACAGCAACGCGGUCGCGAGACAGUUCACUACAUUUGUCCCAGAACGGUCACAUCGGCCAACUGGUUGCCGAUGCCAGUAUGACUACAACAGUUCCCAAGAGCCUGCUGACACACAAGAUGAACUAGAUGGAGACGCUGGUCUCAACAAGGAGGACGAAGAUGACAUGGAAAACGUACAACACGACAGCAAUGAUGACAAACAUGUUGAAGUUCGUGCAGGUGGUAAGAAGGGCAAGGAUGCACCAGAUGUCCCCCACCGGACAAAGUUAAAGAAUAUACGGCUGCGAGAGGCGAGCGGGUGUUUCCCUCAAAGAGGGGGAGGGCUCCAGAGGAUGAUGGGCAGGGUUCCCUUGGCAAGAGGCCUAGGACCGAUCCCGUAG